RNAcentral lists this transfer RNA (74 nucleotides) under Echinostoma caproni. It matches the Rfam family "tRNA". Rfam says of the family: Transfer RNA (tRNA) molecules are approximately 80 nucleotides in length. Their secondary structure includes four short double-helical elements and three loops (D, anti-codon, and T loops). The record is from Rfam by way of RNAcentral. Lineage: Eukaryota; Metazoa; Platyhelminthes; Trematoda; Plagiorchiida; Echinostomatidae.
GGUGUUGUGGUUAAGACAUUGUCAUCGGAGGGCUUUAGACCCUACGGUUCGAGGUUCGAUUCCCGGCACCACCA